AUGCUUUAAUUAUUGUCAGUUCAUGAACAUUUAGUGGAAAGUGUUACCAUUAAACUCAUGUCUUAAACCAGCACCUUGGAUUUCCAUUCCAAAUAUAUUAAAGGUACAUACGUACUUAUGCAAUCACUUUAUUUCAUGCUUUGAUCCCUGUUCUAAAUGUUAAAGUGAAAGUAAAAGUACAAAAGAGCGCUCGAUAGAAAGAAAAUAAAUCCAGACGUGAAUUUUCUGUGGUCAUUUAAGCUUUAUUUUGGACAAUUUGGAAUAACCUUUUCGAUCAGUGUUAUGAAGAUUGGUGAUAUGUCCAUGAGGUGCAUGUGUGUUGCUUACCUGGGGAAGAGAUGGCACCAGGAUGCACUAUGGAAAGAAGGCAAGCCAGAGGAGACAGUGUGAUGAAAACCUUGGGUCCUGGCAUUCCUGUGGAUGUAACUUUGACACAUUUGAUUUGAAUAUGUUUUAAGUCAUAUUUAUGCAGAGAUGUAGAAAAGUCUGAAAAAGGUUCACAAACUUUCAAGCACCAGUGUUUGAUGACAGCACGCCCAACACCCUUUCACCCCUUUCUCUCUGCUCCCUCACAACACAUCUAAUGCUGUGUUUGUGGCAAAGUUACAAUAUGUAAUUCCCCACCCAUAACCGGCAAAACUACCAAAAACUCCCCCUCAACUUGUCAGUUUAGGGUAAUCUCAUUGACCAUUUCCUUCCGUGUUUAUAGAGUGACGACAAAUGUAUAUGGCUGCACACACUGUGAACAGUGUAAAGUACACUUUAUUAACUUUUAAAUUAGUUUAUAGCAGUAUUGGCUUUAGAUAAAUUAAUAUACAGACACAGUAUUUGGUUAAAUUUAUAACAUUGACCAUAUUACUGGCAGUUUAGAGGAGGUAAUGAUCAACAUUAGUUGUAAUAUUAGUUAGUUGUUGCUAACGCUACUCCUGUCUGCUGCCUAGCUUGUUGCUAAGGUAUUUGCUAUUGUCUGCUGUUAUUGCUGUACUGCAGUUUCAAUCCAAAAUGUCGCAUGAAUAUUUGAAGUUCACUAUAGUAGAACAGUAUCAGUAACCACUCAGGCCUCUACUUUAAAAGUGCAGUUAAAGUAGAUUUUUAGCCUUUUUUUUUUUAAGUUCCAGAAGCAAAUGUGUCUUUCACAUCACGUUUUUUUUUUUCAUUUUCAUUGAAUUGGCUUUUGUGCCAGGCAAAUUUUAUGACCAUUUGAUCUGAUCACUCGUUUAGUUGAAAAAGCAGAACAGUGUAGUUUUCUGGUGUCUAGCAUAUAAUAUUAAGGGAUUAAAUUCAUAAUGAUGUCAUGACUAAACCAUAGAUUGUGGCACCUCUGGUAAUGUGAGCAGUGAAAAACAUGAUUGGUUCUGCCCUUCAGUCUAUUCCCAGAUUACAAUUGCUGUGGAAUGUAGACAAUUUCAUCACUUUCACUGACUUUAUGUAUACUUACCUUUAGCUUUGGUGCUUGAAAAAAAGUGUCUGAUUUGCACAAAUGCACUAUCUAGCAUCUGUCCUGUGUAUGAUUAAUCAAAAGAGGUCAUUGUAUUUACAACAGAAUUAAAAAUGUAUGGAGAUUUAAAUGAGAACUUUUACUUGCCCUUACGGAUGAGCCUCCACACAUAAACCCCUUAUAAAUAAGUGAGCUACACACUGGUCUGAAUAACAUUAAAUCCACCUGCCUAAUAUUAUGUAGGUCCCUCUUGUGCACCAAAACAGCUCUGAGCCAUCGAGGCAUGGACUCCACAAGACCGCUGAAGGUGUGCUGUGGUAUCUGGCACCAAUAUAUUAGCAGCAGGUCCUUUAACGGACAGCAAAAAAAAAUUUGUCCUUAUUUACUGCAUUUAAAUUGACAGUCCAACUUUAUUUAUUUAUUUUUUUAUUUUUUUAUCUAGGCAUGAAUUUAUGAGUGUUUAGUCUAGAGCCUGAUGUAAGUUGUGACUCUAAGUCUCGAAUCACAUUUGAGUCACAUAUUAAUGACAAAUCAAUAAAAAUUAAAACAAAAGACCCAGUAACUACAAAUAUAUUUUGGGGGAGUCUUCCCCACUUUCUCCUCAAAUUGGUUACCUUCCAGUUCCUAACCACAAGCCAGCCGUGAUAGGAUGAAUGCUUUUCUGUUCUGCCACAGGCGAGAGGAAACUGAAGAGCUUGGAGGAAAGUCUCAGGGACAUGGGAUCUCCACACGGACAGUAACUGAACUCAGGAUUGAACCUGGGACACCGGAACUGUGAGGUGGAAACCCUACUUGUUGUGUUAAUAAUUGUGGAUUGUACUUUUUUUAGCGUAUUUGUUGAAUAAAUCCAAUAUGGCCCCAAGGAUUAAUUCAAUUUCAUAGACAGUAGAAUAUUCUAACUGUGGUUACAGUGGAACAUGUUUAGAAGUGUGCACCCUUACACGAUGUUUCACUAUAAGGAAUGCCUUUCAAGUUAAAUUAAGACAUAUACUGAUGUUAUCACAUUGUGAAGAAUACACCAGAUCAUACUUUGUACUAUUAAUGAAACUGAAUUAUUGUCUUGAAUAUACAAUAAUAAAAUUCAUAUCUUUAAAUAUUGAAAUGAUACUGUGAAAUCAUGGAAGUCCUGCAACUUACAAUUUUCACUUUUUUUUUUAUUAUAAACUCAUUUAUACACUAUAUACAUGUGAAGAAUUUUCAUACAAGCGCACAAGAACUUAAAAAUUCUUUAGAGAUAUCCUAUAAAGUUUUCAGAGGAAAAUGCCUUAAAACCCUAAUGUGUAGGUAACGGAACCUGCCAAAUGUCACAGUAAAUUACAUGAACAUGUUUAUAUACAAGCCAUUAUCCUUUACAAUUGAGAACAACGUGUUAGAAAACUGUUCCGUUGAUGACCAUAAAAUCUCUAACAUAAUCCUCCAGCAUAAAACUUCACACUUUAUGGCAAACCAAGCUGAAGUAGUUCAUACAAGACAUUUUGUGGACUGAUUUCAUGGUCAGAGGGAAAGACGUAGAAUGUGAGGUAAUGAGAUAAUGUACAGGCUGAGUAUCAGAGAAGAUCUCAGAGUAGACAGCUGAUUUGUGGAAGGCCAGUUGUGUGAGGGCUGCUGUUCCACAUAUCUGUGUAGUUUAAGAGAUCUUCACUGGGCAGUCCUGG
Ictalurus punctatus (channel catfish) is the source of this 3093-nucleotide long non-coding RNA. RefSeq lists it as uncharacterized. NCBI's taxonomy places the organism in Eukaryota, Metazoa, Chordata, Actinopteri, Siluriformes, Ictaluridae. The transcript is spliced from 2 exons. The record is from RefSeq and is a predicted model, not a curated record.